RNAcentral lists this long non-coding RNA (348 nucleotides) under Gossypium barbadense (sea-island cotton). Its description in RNAcentral is "long non-coding RNA (GBAR_LNC012021)". The record is from RNAcentral. Lineage: Eukaryota; Viridiplantae; Streptophyta; Magnoliopsida; Malvales; Malvaceae.
UGAAUAGUGCACUAGAAAUAAUAUUAAAAUAAUUAGAAUCGAAAUGAGGUAUCAAGACCUCGGGGAUUUUAAACUGAGCCAUAAAUAUUUUUAUAAAUAUUUAUGGAGUGUUAAAAAGUUAGUAUUAAAGUUUCGUUAAGAAAUUUUAAAGUUCCGAUAAUUAAUUGAACAAAAAGGACUAAAUUGUAACAAAUGCAAAAUUUUGGGAAAUAAUUAAAUAGCUUAAAUGAUAAAAGGAAGAGGGCUUAAAAAGCAAAUAGACCCAAGGUCUAUUUGGGCUGGACGGCAGAGGCAUGAAAUCAGCAAGAAAGUAAGGAGAAUUAAGGGCAAAAUUGGAAAAUUGCAAAA